CCUUCUCCUUAGUGGACCGGACCAAUACGUUGCCCCAGUGGAGGUCCCUGAGGAAAGGAGACCAGGUCACUAACACACCCCACCCACUCCUUAGUGGACCGGACCAACACAGUGGAGGUCCCCAGGAGACCAGGUCACUAACACACCCCACCCACUCCUUAGUGGACCGGACCAACACAGUGGAGGUCCCCAGGAGACCAGGUCACUAACACACCCCACCCACUCCUUAGUGGACCGGACCAACACAGUGGAGGUCCCCAGGAGACCAGGUCACUAACACACCCCACCCACUCCUUAGUGGACCGGACCAACACAGUGGAGGUCCCCAGGAGACCAGGUCACUAACACACCCCACCCACUCCUUAGUGGACCGGACCAACACAGUGGAGGUCCCCAGGAGACCAGGUCACUAACACACCCCACCCACUCCUUAGUGGACCGGACCAACACAGUGGAGGUCCCCAGGAGACCAGGUCACUAACACACCCCACCCACUCCUUAGUGGACCGGACCAACACAGUGGAGGUCCCCAGGAGACCAGGUCACUAACACACACAAAGAGACAGACAGACAGACAGUGUUAGGUGUGGUGUGUACCUGUGUUACCAGACAGACAGACAGACAGACAGACAGACAGUGUUAGGUGUGGUGUGUACCUGUGUUACCAGACAGACAGACAGACAGAGUUAGGUGUGUACCUGUGUUACCAGACAGACAGACAGACAGACAGUGUUAGGUGUGGUGUGUACCUGUGUUACCAGACAGACAGACAGACAGACAGACAGACAGAGUUAGGUGUGUACCUGUGUUACCAGACAGACAGACAGACAGACAGGUCAGACAGGACAGACAGACAGAUGAGACAGACGGUCAGACAGACAGACAGACCUGUGUUCGAAGCAGAGCUCCUGUUCAGCCACAGCCAGAGUUAGGUGUGUACCUGUGUUACCAGACAGACAGACCUGUGUUCGAAGCAGAGCUCCUGUUCAGCCACAGCCAGAGUUAGGUGUGUACCUGUGUUACCAGACAGACAGACCUGUGUUCGAAGCAGAGCUCCUGUUCAGCCACAGCCAGAGUUAGGUGUGUACCUGUGUUACCAGACAGACAGACCUGUGUUCGAAGCAGAGCUCCUGUUCAGCCACAGCCAGAGUUAGGUGUGUACCUGUGUUACCAGACAGACAGACCUGUGUUCGAAGCAGAGCUCCUGUUCAGCCACAGCCAGAGUUAGGUGUGUACCUGUGUUACCAGACAGACAGACCUGUGUUCGAAGCAGAGCUCCUGUUCAGCCACAGCCAGAGUUAGGUGUGUACCUGUGUUACCAGACAGACAGACCUGUGUUCGAAGCAGAGCUCCUGUUCAGCCACAGCCAGAGUUAGGUGUGUACCUGUGUUACCAGACAGACAGACCUGUGUUCGAAGCAGAGCUCCUGUUCAGCCACAGCCAGAGUUAGGUGUGUACCUGUGUUACCAGACAGACAGACCUGUGUUCGAAGCAGAGCUCCUGUUCAGCCACAGCCAGAGUUAGGUGUGUACCUGUGUUACCAGACAGACAGACCUGUGUUCGAAGCAGAGCUCCUGUUCAGCCACAGCCAGAGUUAGGUGUGUACCUGUGUUACCAGACAGACAGACCUGUGUUCGAAGCAGAGCUCCUGUUCAGCCACAGCCAGAGUUAGGUGUGUACCUGUGUUACCAGACAGACAGACCUGUGUUCGAAGCAGAGCUCCUGUUCAGCCACAGCCAGAGUUAGGUGUGUACCUGUGUUACCAGACAGACAGACCUGUGUUCGAAGCAGAGCUCCUGUUCAGCCACAGCCAGAGUUAGGUGUGUACCUGUGUUACCAGACAGACAGACCUGUGUUCGAAGCAGAGCUCCUGUUCAGCCACAGCCAGAGUUAGGUGUGUACCUGUGUUACCAGAAAGACAGACCUGUGUUCGAAGCAGAGCUCCUGUUCAGCCACAGCCAGAGUUAGGUGUGUACCUGUGUUACCAGACAGACAGACCUGUGUUCGAAGCAGAGCUCCUGUUCAGCCACAGCCAGAGUUAGGUGUGUACCUGUGUU
Coregonus clupeaformis (lake whitefish) is the source of this 2057-nucleotide long non-coding RNA. RefSeq lists it as uncharacterized. The record is from RefSeq and is a predicted model, not a curated record. NCBI's taxonomy places the organism in Eukaryota, Metazoa, Chordata, Actinopteri, Salmoniformes, Salmonidae. The transcript is spliced from 3 exons.